GGAUCUGACAUUUAGCUUCUUCAAAGUAAUAAAUGCAUCUAAAAAUGCAACAAAGUUCAAUAUUUCAUUUACAGCAAUAGAAUUGGAGCCACGAACCCAGAUGUGUCCAGUCCAGGAAUUGGUAUGGUGAGUAUCUUUUCAUUAACAGUCUUAUAAAAAUAAAAAUAAAAAGCCUUAAAGCAAAAGUAAUAAGAUUGACUGAAAGAUGUUGUUCAUUGUGUUUUCAGAGUUGUUCUGCCCCACGAGAGAUGUAUUCUCUGAUCACUUCUGCACUAGCCACAUCUCAACCCAUAUAUGAAGAUUUGGAGCACUCAGAGUCACAUCAGCACAACAGAGCAGACCCUUCACACACUUUUAUUACUUCUGCAAACCCAAUCUACCAGCCCUCAGAUGCCGUGGCCAACAAAAAACAGCAUCAAAAAAAUGCAGAGGAAAAUGAGGAUGUUUACCACAUGUACUGCACCAUCCCAGAUAGACCAGUUUAGUCCAGCACUGGAGAAUACAGUUUGAUCCAGAUGCACUGAAGACUUUCAUUUUACUUGUUUCAAUUGACAAUUGUACUCUCCCAUUCACUGCGCUCUAGGUUUAUCCAACUAUGAUAACUUCUGCUUCUGAGAAACCUGGAAAUGUGAAAAAGGUUCAUAUAGUGUCAUAAAAAGCUGAAGUGAAUAUUAAUAACUAUUAUUUGGACUGGUGAUUUUUUCUUUUUAAUUGUGUUUUGUCUUGAUUCUGUAUGCACUGAAAAGCUGCAUUAUGGUUUUAAUUUAUUGUGUACUAUUUGUUUAAUUAUUAUUUGUUUAAUUAUUCGGGAAAAGGCAAAUUGUACUACAUUGUACAAAAUUCAUAUGAAUUCGCCACUAAAUCGAAAAGUUACGAAUUGCCCUGGGUAUGUGUUGGAAAAACUAUAAGCUUCAGUAUUUCUAGAGUGUUUCAUUAAAUUAUUGUUUUUAUUGCAUGAAGUCAAACUAACUACCAUUAUAAGAGAAUCUGAUCUUUUUAAAGUUAUAUUUAAACAUUUUCAUUUUUCUUUUACUUAGGUGAAUUUUUAUUUAAGACUACUUUUCACUUAUUUAAAGUCCCUCAAUAAAGCAAAGAGUUUCCUGUGUUCCGACACUCUCUUUACUUUCUAAUUCACACUUUGAGUCUCAUUCAGUCUGUUUUCUCACACUCGCUGUGAUGGAGUUGUUCGUCUUUGUUGUUUUUUGGCUCCUGGUGGAGGUUCAGUCAAACAGUAGGUGAUUUACGUUCAUGUGCUUAAUGAAAACCUUUUUGCAGUCUAAAAUAUGUGUGAUAUCUGUACAAGAGGAGUUUUAAUAUGAACAUACCUGACAUUUUAAUAGAGGAUUAAUAUGUACAUGUGAGAACAGCUGUCUUUUUAAAUAAAAAAAGAAAAUACAUGACUGAUUUUGGAAUAUUAGUAUACUUUUAAAUAUUAUUAUUAUUGUACUAGCAAAAAACAUUACAUGGGAUUCUUCUGCUGCCACAGUGACUGCAGUGAUUAUUAACUAUGUAUUGUUUGACUUCCACCAGACACACUUCAGAAACCCUUCAUCAGUGUUAGUGAAGAUAAGGAUCUGCUCAUCAUAUCAUGUGAAAUACCAGCUUCAGUCAGAGCUGAUGUGUCCUGUAAUCUCUACACUGGAGAUGAUGCUCUUCUGGACAGCCUUGACUCUCAGAGGAGUUCAUUUGGAGAGUAAUAUCUUUGUAUGUUUUAUCAAACUCUUAGUGAACUCUUGAGAAGAUCAGGACACAUCAGACAAGUGAGCUGUGAUUAUUCACUCAAGACUAAACCUGACAUCAGAUCUCCACACAGUGACACAUACUGUACACACUCAGAGGUAUGAUUAAUUUACCAUGGUAUAUAAUUUUCACAUAUGGGAGUUGUAGAAACCAUAAUUUUCUACAAAAUGCAGGCUACAAUGCAGGCUAGUAAUAUAUAAAUAUAUAAUAUUUGUAUAUCCAUUAAAUCAAAAACAACCUAUAAACAAAAGAAAAGUCAAUAACCCACAAACAAACAAAUAAAUAUGUCAAUGUCUGAAAAGUGAUGUGCUAUUUUAGUUAUCUGGUG
Danio rerio (zebrafish) is the source of this 2068-nucleotide long non-coding RNA. The record is from Ensembl. Lineage: Eukaryota; Metazoa; Chordata; Actinopteri; Cypriniformes; Danionidae.